Molecule: ribosomal RNA, 408 nt
Filed under: uncultured bacterium
Lineage: Bacteria
Description: bacterial SSU rRNA
Rfam family: Bacterial small subunit ribosomal RNA
Source: RNAcentral
GGACCCGCACAAGUAGUGGAGCAUGUGGUUUAAUUCGAAGAUACGCGCAGAACCUUACCAACACUUGACAUGUUCGUCGCGACUCUAAGAGAUUAGAGUUUUCGGUUCGGCCGGACGAAACACAGGUGCUGCAUGGCUGUCGUCAGCUCGUGUCGUGAGAUGUUGGGUUAAGUCCCGCAACGAGCGCAACCCUCACUUUUAGUUGCCAUCAUUAAGUUGGGCACUCUGAAAGAACUGCCAGUGAUAAGCUGGAGGAAGGUGGGGAUGACGUCAAGUCCUCAUGGCCCUUACGUGUUGGGCUACACACGUGCUACAAUGGUAUCUACAACAGGAAGCAAGACGGCGACGUUUAGCAAAUCUCAUAAACCUUUUCGUAGUCCGGAUUGGAGUCUGCAACUCGACUCCAUG